UACGUAGGGUGCGAGCGUUAAUCGGAAUUACUGGGCGUAAAGCGUGAGCAGGCGGUUGUGCAAGACAGAUGUUAAAUCCCCGGGCUUAACCUGGGAACUGCAUUUGUGACUGCACGGCUAGAGUGUGUCAGAGGGGGGUAGAAUUCCACGUGUAGCAGUGAAAUGCGUAGAUAUGUGGAGGAAUACCGAUGGCGAAGGCAGCCCCCUGGGAUAACACUGACGCUCAUGCACGAAAGCGUGGGGAGCAAACAGG
RNAcentral lists this ribosomal RNA (253 nucleotides) under uncultured bacterium. RNAcentral describes it as "partial 16S ribosomal RNA". It matches the Rfam family "Bacterial small subunit ribosomal RNA", at positions 524 to 776 of the family's 1533-position model. The record is from RNAcentral.